This 66-nucleotide transfer RNA is filed under the name Novastoa sp. TAR-2014. RNAcentral's name for it is "tRNA-Val". The record is from RNAcentral. Lineage: Eukaryota; Metazoa; Mollusca; Gastropoda; Littorinimorpha; Vermetidae.
GGAGGUAUAGCAUAAAUAAUGCAUUUCACUUACUCUGAUAAAGAUCUUUAGGAUAAAGUACUUCUU